Molecule: ribosomal RNA, 372 nt
Filed under: uncultured prokaryote
Description: bacterial SSU rRNA
Rfam family: Bacterial small subunit ribosomal RNA
Source: RNAcentral
UACGUAGGGAGCAAGCGUUGUCCGGAAUUAUUGGGCGUAAAGGGUGCGUAGGCGGUUUAUCAAGUCAGAUGUGAAAUCCCCGGGCUUAACUCGGGACGUGCAUUUGAAACUGGUAGACUUGAGUAAAGAAGAGGUAAGUGGAAUUCCUAGUGUAGCGGUGGAAUGCGUAGAUAUUAGGAGGAACACCAGUGGCGAAGGCGACUUACUGGUCUUUUACUGACGCUGAGGCACGAAAGCGUGGGGAGCAAACAGGAUUAGAUACCCUGGUAGUCCACGCUGUAAACGAUGGAUACUAGGUGUGGGGGACAUACAACCUCUGUGCCGGAGCUAACGCAUUAAGUAUCCCGCCUGGGGAGUACGGUCGCAAGGCUG